UGGCUCUGGCAUCGAUGAAGAACGCAGCGAAAUGCGAUAAGUAAUGCGAAUUACAGAAUUCCAGUGAGUCAUCGAAUCUUUGAACGCACAUUGCGCCCUUUGGUAUUCCGAAGGGCAUGCCUGUUCGAGCGUCAUUAUCACCCCUCGGGCCCGUGCUCGGUGUUGGACGGCCGGUUUCGGGCGACCGAACCCCUCCUAAAGACAAUGAGGGCGGCCUGUGGUUCCCGCGGCACACUGAGCUUUUUACGAGGCAUGUGCUGGGGGGCGCUCAGGACCCCCGGUCUUCUCCUCUUGGUAGGAAGCUUCUCAUGGUUGACCUCGGAUCAGGUAGGAAUACGCGCUGA
This 344-nucleotide unclassified non-coding RNA is filed under the name uncultured fungus. RNAcentral's name for it is "partial contains 5.8S ribosomal RNA and internal transcribed spacer 2". The stretch from base 1 to 134 matches the Rfam family "5.8S ribosomal RNA", at positions 22 to 154 of the family's 154-position model. Lineage: Eukaryota; Fungi. The record is from RNAcentral.